Long non-coding RNA from Oncorhynchus tshawytscha (Chinook salmon), 1300 nucleotides. Lineage: Eukaryota; Metazoa; Chordata; Actinopteri; Salmoniformes; Salmonidae. The record is from Ensembl.
CCAGUCUGAGACAACUCUAAAGAUCCAGUCCAACAGUACAUGAUUAAUCUCAUCAUCAGAUCCACAGACCCAUCGUACAGAGCUGUAAAACAACACAAGGAACAUUUUUACAAAAUGUCUUCUCUACAAAGAGCAGAUCAAAUAUUAUACAUUGAUAAAUACAAUGAAACAUUUUUGUUUAUACAUUUCCUUCUAGAACGACUAAUAACCUUCUAGAGCUCUAUUCAGUCUGUACAGCUGAAGCGUGACAGAUUCUGUGAUGGGAAUGUAAAGGUCAUUUCCCAUGGAGCACCGUUUACCGUCAAUGCAGUCUCUGCUCAAUCAGGAACACUUCCGCCUCGCGGAUUGAAUUAGAGCCCUUCAUCUGCAGAGAUUGACAACUAAACGAUUUAAAAGCUGUUCACACUGCUGAUAUCAUGAGUGAUAUUUUUUUUGUUUGUUGGACAGUCCAGGUCUCUCUUAAUAACCACUUAGUUGUGGUUGGUAAACAAUCUUUAGCUUUCAAAAUAGCAACGUCCGUUUCAUGUUUGCAUAGUAGCGCUAUUCUACGAUCGGUGCUCUCCGCUGGCAAAUCAUUGAAGUGGCCAGCUCUCAUUGGACCCUUCUUGACAAAAAGGUCCUCUUCCAGCCAAUGACAUCAGUCUGUUGUUACAUCGUAAUUGGAGGUCACCGGUGUGCCUCACUUUAGGGUAAGACGACUGGUGACGUUUCCGUCUACAUUGCAGUCGGCCAGGAGAGGCGUUUAAUGUAUCUGUUGAAAGGGGGGUGGCAUUAUGACGUCAUAAAGGUACUUCAAUGAUUUCAUUCUGAGUUGACUUUAAACCUGGGAGGAUUUUCAAGUGUUCACCUGGUCAAGUGGACUCAACGGUUGUUGUCCACUCAAGACAACUGAAAGCAUUAUAAUCUAUUAUAUAGAUGAACAUAGGAUCAUAUCUAAAACGUUUGAGGAUGUGGCGAGUUAUUGAACGUUGGUGCGUUGUGUCGGGCCUGACGUCCUUAACGUGGGUUAGAAACCAGAACAGAACUGGCUUCCGGUUUGGGAAAUACAUCUUGUGACUGGAGUGACUCAGUCAGGGUACGGGCUCAAUUCCAUUUCAAAUUGGUCAAUUUAGAAAGUAAACCAAAUUCCAAAUUGAAAAGCAUUGAAGAGAAUUGACUGGAAUUGAAAUGGAAUGAACCCCAACUCACCUACACAUCAAUGGUAUGAAUCAUUCUUACUGACCCCCAACUCUAGACUUACAGUGCCUUGCGAAAUUAUUCGGCCCCCUUGAACUUUGCGACCUUUUGCCACAUUUCAGGC